ACUCCUACGGGAGGCAGCAGUGGGGAAUCUUGGACAAUGGGCGCAAGCCUGAUCCAGCCAUGCCGCGUGAGUGAUGAAGGCCUUAGGGUCGUAAAGCUCUUUCGCCUGUGAUGAUAAUGACAGUAGCAGGUAAAGAAACCCCGGCUAACUCCGUGCCAGCAGCCGCGGUAAUACGGAGGGGUUAGCGUUGUUCGGAAUUACUGGGCGUAAAGCGCGCGUAGGCGGACUGGAAAGUUGGGGGUGAAAUCCCGGGGCUCAACCCGGAACUGCCUCCAAACUAUCAGUCUAGAGUUCGAGAGAGGUGAGUGGAAUUCCGAGUGUAGAGGUGAAAUUCGUAGAUAUUCGGAGGAACACCAGUGGCGAAGGCGGCUCACUGGCUCGAUACUGACGCUGAGGUGCGAAAGUGUGGGGAGCAAACAGGAUUAGAUACCCUGGUAGGAUAGCG
RNAcentral lists this ribosomal RNA (445 nucleotides) under uncultured bacterium. RNAcentral describes it as "bacterial SSU rRNA". It matches the Rfam family "Bacterial small subunit ribosomal RNA", at positions 335 to 799 of the family's 1533-position model. The record is from RNAcentral.